GCGAGAGACGUUGAGAGGAGAGCUGUGAACAUAUUUGAGCAUUUUUGAGCUGAAAAAGGAGCGAAAACACCGAUAAAAGUCCUCAGUAGACCUCUACUGGACCAGAAAAGGACUACAGACCAGGACCAGAAAAGGACUACAGACCAGGACCAGAAAAGGACUACAGACCAGGACCAGAAAAGGACUACAGACCAGGACCAGAAAAGGACUACAGACCAGGACCAGAAAAGUGGACCAUGGCCCUGUGCGUGGCACAAGCAUGUGAGAAGGACCAGGGAAGAAAAGAUGAAGAAAGAAAAGAUGGAGGAGACAUCUGCAGAGAACGGAGACAAAGGACGACUUUUAUCAAUCAAAACAAUUAUGCCACAAUCAGCCACAGGAGGAGACACCAGCAGAGGAAAGGAAGACUAUUAACCAAAACAAAGUAAGCAAAGCCUCUAAUGUUCACAGAAAGACACUGAAAAUAUGUUUAUUGUAAAAUUGGACGUCACGUUUUACUAAUGCCUGUAAAAUGCCGGAGAGGAACGACAGCAUCCACUGAUGGAGGAGAAGAAGAAAGAUAGAGGAGCACCAGUGUCUACAGCGUCCCACAACCAACCUCAUGAGGAGACAUCAGCACAGGAUGAAGAUAAAGGAAGACCUAUCAAUCAAUCAUAAAAACAAAGUAAACAAAGCUUCUUGUUUACACAG
Molecule: long non-coding RNA, 690 nt
Filed under: Gouania willdenowi (blunt-snouted clingfish)
Lineage: Eukaryota; Metazoa; Chordata; Actinopteri; Blenniiformes; Gobiesocidae
Description: lncRNA (ENSGWIG00000006490.1)
Source: RNAcentral